This 253-nucleotide ribosomal RNA is filed under the name uncultured bacterium. RNAcentral's name for it is "partial 16S ribosomal RNA". It matches the Rfam family "Bacterial small subunit ribosomal RNA", at positions 524 to 776 of the family's 1533-position model. The record is from RNAcentral.
GACGAACCGUGCGAACGUUGUUCGGAAUCACUGGGCUUAAAGGGCGCGUAGGCGGGCCGGCCAGUCUGUGGUGAAAUACCUCGGCUUAACCGAGGAACAGCCAUGGAUACUGCCGGCCUCGAGGAGGGUAGGGGCAUCUGGAACGAGCGGUGGAGCGGUGAAAUGCGUUGAUAUCGCUCGGAACUCCGGUGGCGAAGGCGAGGUGCUGGACCCUUUCUGACGCUGAGGCGCGAAAGCCAGGGGAGCAAACGGG